CUGUCCGUCUGUCUCUCUNNNNNNNNNNNNNNNNNNNNNNNNNNNNNNNNNNNNNNNNNNNNNNNNNNNNNNNNNNNNNNNNNNNNNNUCCGUCUGUCCCUCUGUCUGUCCGUCUGUCCCUCUGUCCGUCUGUCUCUCUGUCUGUCCCUCUGUCUGUCUGUCCCUCUGUCCGUCUGUCUCUCUGUCUGUCCGUCUGUCCCUCUGUCCGUCUGUCUCUCUGUCUGUCCCUCUGUCUGUCUGUCCCUCUGUCCGUGUCUCUGCCUGUCCGUCUGUCCCUCUGUCCGUCUGUCUCUCUGUCCGUCCGUCUGUCCCUCUGUCUGCCUGUCCCUCUGUCUGUCCCUCUGUCCGUCUGUCCCUCUGUCUGUCUGUCUGUCCCUCUGUCCCUCUGUCUCUCUGUCUGUCCCUCUGUCUGUCUGUCUCUCUGUCUGUCCAUCUGUCCCUCUGUCCAUCUGUCUCUCUGUCUGUCCGUCUGUCCCUCUGUCUGUACGUCUGUCCCUCUGUCUCUCUGUCUGUCCGUCUGUCCAUCUGUCCAUCUGUCUGUCUGUCUGUCCCUCUGUCCAGCGUGGCUCUCCUGCAGUCCCCACUGUGAGAAGGGCACACAGGCGGCAGUGGCUCAGGACCGUCUCCAGGGCUCUGCAGUCCGACACUCACUGUCACGGCUCCAGAGACAGACGCCACCAGGCUCGGGUCUGCAGGCACCUCGUUCAGCUGCACUUCUCCAGCCUGAUGGCUCCUCACCUCCUGCACGGGCAGCUCCCCAACAGCCCACGGAGCAAUCCCUGCAGGAAGCCCAGCGACGCUGCUCCCGGCAAGAGCGUGGGAUGCAGUGCUGGGUGACCAGGGGACCAGACUUGCCAGCAGUUACACCACAGAGGGCAGAUUCCCUCCCACCCUAAAACAGAAACCUUUGUUCAUUGGCAGCCCUGGAGGCACUGCCUGGCCUGGCCAAGGUCCAUGGGGUCCCACAGGGCGGAGGCCGACCUACACCCUGUGCAGAGCUCUGAGCAGCAUGGAAAAGAGAUGGCAUGGGAACAUCUGCCUACAGAUGCCUCACUACACUCCUCCCAGUACUCAUUUUUGAAGUGAGGAGGGUUAAUCAGCCUCAUUCCCAACAUACAGACAGCUCCUGCCAGUCCUUGCUCUCGUUGAAAGCUAAGUGCAAUGCAACAACCAGGCCAGAGCAAUCAGAUGAGGGAGAAGAGACCUAAAUAAUACUUCUCUCUGCUGUGGGGUGACUAUGUGGUCCCAGCCAUCCUGCUUACCCCUGACAUGCCUGCAUUUCCCUUCAGUGCUGCUGGGCAUGGUUCAGUGCAGGGAUGGCUUUGGCAGCUCUGCAGAAUGAAUAUCCAUCCAAACCUUGGAAUUCAGCUGAUAAACUCAGGCUGGUCCUUUCCCCAGUCUGGAUGCUGUCCAGCAGCAUUCCCUGCGGAAAUGCCUUAAUUAUUUUAUUUGCAUCUCUGUU
Molecule: long non-coding RNA, 1462 nt
Organism: Lonchura striata (white-rumped munia)
Lineage: Eukaryota; Metazoa; Chordata; Aves; Passeriformes; Estrildidae
Source: Ensembl